AAACUUUACACUGCACGACAGUGCGAUAAGGGAACUCCGAGUGCGAGGGCAUAUAGUCCUCGCUUUUCUGCACCGUAAGGUGGUGCAGGAAUAAGAGCUGGGCAAGACCGGUGCCAGCCGCCGCGGUAACACCGGCAGCUCGAGUGAUGGCCGAUAUUAUUGGGCCUAAAGCGUCCGUAGCUGGUCGCGUAAGUCCGUUGGGAAAUCUGCGCGCUCAACGCGCAGGCGUCCGGCGGAAACUGCGUGACUAGGGACCGAGAGACCCGAGGGGUACGUCUGGGGUAGGAGUGAAAUCCCGUAAUCCUGGACGGACCACCGAUAGCGAAAGCACCUCGGGAGAUCGGAUCCGACAGUGAGGGACGAAAGCUAGGGUCACGAACCGGAUUAGAUACCCGGGUAGUCCUAGCUGUAAACGAUGCCCGUUAGGUGUGGCGCGGACUACGAGUUCGUGCCAUGCCGCAGUGAAGACGAUAAACGGGCCGCCUGGGAAGUACGUCAAGCGAAGGAUGAAAUUUAA
This 517-nucleotide ribosomal RNA is filed under the name uncultured archaeon. Its description in RNAcentral is "bacterial SSU rRNA". It matches the Rfam family "Archaeal small subunit ribosomal RNA", at positions 345 to 859 of the family's 1478-position model. The record is from RNAcentral.